This is a long non-coding RNA of Corvus hawaiiensis (hawaiian crow), 991 nucleotides long. RefSeq lists it as uncharacterized. The transcript has 3 exons. The record is from RefSeq and is a predicted model, not a curated record. NCBI's taxonomy places the organism in Eukaryota, Metazoa, Chordata, Aves, Passeriformes, Corvidae.
CACAUCUAUCAACAGCUCCAAGCCUUUUCAAACACAAGACUUGCACUACAGAAAAUACAACUACUUGAAACCUAAAAUUAUCUCUGUCUUCACAGCUGUGUCCGUGGGUUGGUGUGAGCUGGUGCUGGCCCUGUGUCCUGUACUGUGGAGCACUCACUGGUGGGGCACCGUGGUGACAGCACAGCUGCCAAAGGCACUGGCCACGUCAGGUACUUCUUGUCACCAGUGUGUCUCUGUCAGCACUGAGCAUGGCUCUGGUGAACAACAUUCAAUUGUCACCUCACCACUGUCCAUUCCCAGGACAGGAGCUGAGAGACACAGGUGGCAUUUGUCCCCAGUUAUCUGUAUCAUCUCUGCAAAGGACAGCAUCCAGAGGUCAGCAAAGUCCCAGGAAAGUCUGCCCUUGACUCCAGGGACUCUUUGGUUGGUCUGCAGUCACUCCUGCUGGAUCCUGCUGCUGGAAUUGCCAACAAGGAUGCCAUGUGUGAAGCUGGUUCCCACACCCUGCUGCACACUGGCACAACAGGAACCCAGGAGACUGAGCCAAACAUCUGCUGCUGCGCAACAGCCCACAUUAGGAUGGCAGACACAUCCAUGAGGAUGGAAACGGGGACAGACCAUACUUCUCAUGUUAGCACGUUUUAGGAGAGGAUGCAGAAGGGUCCCUCUUGUCAUUUACAGCCUGAAGAGCCUGUGGCAGGUGCCCCUGGCUAACCUAGCUUGAGCCCUGCUGACAACAGAUACCCAGAGAGUGCCUGCUUUCUCUCUGCACUGGGAAAGGAACAGGGAGACUCCUCACUGUGGAAAUACUGCACAAGAAGCAGCACAGUCUGCUGGAAAAAUUUAGCUGGACCACUUGUCAUAUUGAAAGCUCUGUUCUCACCCAAAUAAAAACUUAAAAAUGUGCUGACUUCAAAAGAAAUUGCAAGAUAUUACGUUUUUCUAUUUUUUUUUCAGGGAGUUUUUUUUUCCGGCUGGGCUUUGAUUUGUC